UCAAACCACUCAUACCUUUGACCCAGCGAUUUCACUUCUGGAUUAUUCUGACAACAGACUCCCACAGCCCCGCAUGAACACGGGAUGGCUCGCUGCAGCACAGUCUGGGAGCUAAGACCACAGGCCAUUUAAACAUCAAUGAACACGAAGUGUUUCAGCCUGAGGAAACUUUGUCUUAGGACAUCAGCGACAUAUGGGAAUAAUAAAGUAUUCCUCUGCCAGCAAACUGAAGCCUUUAACUUUUCUACCUGAACCCUCUGAAAUCCAAAAGGUCCUGGUCAGUGUCCUUUCCUCCGUGGCGACCAUGGUCAUUUGCAUACGCUCAAUAAGAACCUGUUCUUGUAAGAGGACACCACUGGAAACAUCGGUUAUUUUACCAAGGCUUUGGCCGAGCGUCAUCUUUGAGAGACAGGCAUAGACUCAGAUGUGACUAAGCAGCUUGAAGGAACGAAGGCUGAUUUUCUGAAACCCGGAGCCGUAAAGCCCCUUGGAGAUGUUGGCCGGAUACCUGGGCCGGAGCUCCCAACGGCCUCACCAGGGAGUAAAGAAUGUCAGUUCCUGGCAGGUGCAGGAGCCUCAGGAUACCCUGGGGACCUUGAGAAGAGGAAUACGCCCAAAUCUACAGGCAUUACAGGCAUGUCUGGCAAGUGCUCGACUUGGCUUCUGGCCUGGAGAGGCUACCUGAAGUUCAACCUAGAGAUUCCUUAUAAAAAUUUCCAGCUAAGUGGAUUCUGAAAGAUCUAAAUGAUCAAUCUCUGUUCCUCCUGAGCUUAUAUAAAUCAUUAGGCCACGUUUUGUUAAAACUCGACUCGUUUUACAAAUGACUAGGUCCCGAUUUGGCUACCUCUGUAUACAGGUGAGGGCUACGGUAGAGAGAAAACGUUUCAGUAACACGUCUUUGUAGAUACUAGAUUCUAAGCAUUGAGACUCAAGAAAACUGGAUUAUUCUUUUACCGAUAAGGGGUUCUUUGGGUGAGAGUUGCCCCAACGCAUUCAACAGAGUUAUUGGUUAUUGUCCCUUUGGAGUUACUAUGUGGCAAACCUUUUCUCCUGUAGACCUAUCAAUCGACGGAGACUAUAAUGCUCUAUUAAGUUAUUUACUCGAGGCCAGGUUGAUUCAUAAAUCUCUAAAUGAAUAUGCAAACCAUAUCCUCCCGAAACCUGAUUUGACAGACACUAGCAACCCACCCCAUAUAAACCCCGCAGACAUGAUUUAAAGGAUUGGGAGUUGGGUGCCUGGUGGCUCUGUGGGUGAAGUGUCUGCCUUCGGCUCAGGUCAUGAUCCCGGGGUCGUCCUGGGACCGAGUCCCACAUCGGGCUCCUUGCUCGGGGGGGGGGGUCCGCUUCUCCCUCUGCCCCCCGCACCCCCCCACCCCCCGCUCAUGCUCUCUUUCUCACUCACUCUCUUUCUCAAAUAAAUAAAAUCUUAAAAAAAACAUAAAGGAAGGGGGGCUCCUAUAGCAGGGGGUUUAACUCCAAAUUGUCGUCUUUAUGGUGUCUCCCUGCCCGGUGCCCAGACUCCUUCAGGUGCUACCGCACCUCUAGUUGAGAGACGACCCUUCCUACUCAGGGAGGCUCCACACGUCUCCUACCUUGGGGUAGCUGCCUCUGCCUUCAGUGACUCGAUACAUAAAUUCCCCGACCGACGGGUGCCAACCCGCGGGCAGGGACACCUCCAGGCCCCUACUCAGCAGGAGGAGGUUACAGACCUCGAGGCCUUCCACCCUCAGCAACCUUAGAGAUCGAGGGGUCCAAAUCGUUCCGGGAGGGACUGACGCGGGAAACAAAGGCAGAGGGAGAUGUAGGUAAAAUUAAAUGUCCGCGGGCAGCCCGGGGGGCUCAGUGGUUUAGCUCCGCCUUCAGCCCAGGGCCUGAUCCUGGAGACCCGGGAUCGAGUCCCACAUCGGGCUCCCCGCGUGGAGCCUGCUUCUCCCUCUGCCUGUGUCUCUGCCUCUCUCUGUGUGUGUCUCUCACGAAUGAAUAAAUAAAAUCUUAAAAAAAAUUUAAAUGUCCGUAUAGCCUGCAGCCUAUUGAGAAACACUGGGGGAGGCAGAAUGAAACGUUCCUCCAGGAGGCUCCGACUGUCCUCCCGUCACCGCCUCGCUGGAGGGACGCACAGUCUUGGUUCGGCCGCAGCCGGGCCUCCAGGGUCCCGCGAGUCUUCAGCGCACGAAGGUCCCUUUGGAACGUCCCGUAUGGCCAGUCUCCCCGACCCUACUGUGUAAUCAGUUGCUCCUCACACUCCAGGGCCGCAGCUCACCUGUCGUCCUGCUUUAAUAAACCCACCAUUUUGCCCCGA
Nyctereutes procyonoides (raccoon dog) is the source of this 2299-nucleotide long non-coding RNA. RefSeq lists it as uncharacterized. The record is from RefSeq and is a predicted model, not a curated record. The transcript has 2 exons. Lineage: Eukaryota; Metazoa; Chordata; Mammalia; Carnivora; Canidae.